Molecule: ribosomal RNA, 92 nt
Filed under: Philantomba monticola (Blue duiker)
Lineage: Eukaryota; Metazoa; Chordata; Mammalia; Artiodactyla; Bovidae
Description: partial large subunit ribosomal RNA
Source: RNAcentral
GAAUAGAGAAUCCUCCGAGCGAUUUUAAAGACUAGACCCACAAGUCAAAUCAAACUAUCGCUUAUUGAUCCAAAAACUUGAUCAACGGAACA